This 423-nucleotide ribosomal RNA is filed under the name uncultured bacterium. Its description in RNAcentral is "partial 16S ribosomal RNA". It matches the Rfam family "Bacterial small subunit ribosomal RNA", at positions 360 to 775 of the family's 1533-position model. The record is from RNAcentral.
AAUAUUGGACAAUGGGGGAAACCCUGAUCCAGCCAUCCCGCGUGUAUGAUGAAGGCCUUCGGGUUGUAAAGCACUUUUGGCAGGGAAGAAAAGGUACCUCCUACUACGAGGUGCUGCUGACGGUAUCUGCAGAAUAAGCACCGGCUACCUACGUGCCAGCAGCCGCGGUAAUACGUAGGUUGCAAGCGUUAAUCGGAAUUACUGGGCGUAACGCGUGUGUAGGGGGUACGGAAAGCAAGAUGUGAAAUCCCAGGGUUCAACCUUGGAACUGCAUUUUUAACUGCCGAGCUAGAGUAUGUCAGAGGGAGGUAGAAUUCCACGUGUAGCAGUAAAAUGCGUAGAUAUGUGGAGGAAUACCGAUGGCGAAGGCAGCCCCCUGGGAUAAAACUGACGCUCAGACCCGAAAGCGUGGGGAGCAAACAG